RNAcentral lists this long non-coding RNA (763 nucleotides) under Homo sapiens (human). Its description in RNAcentral is "HSALNT0152319". Lineage: Eukaryota; Metazoa; Chordata; Mammalia; Primates; Hominidae. The record is from RNAcentral.
GGGGCAGAGAAGCUCUGGGAUAGAGCUGAAUGCUCUGGGGCAUGGGGUUCCCCCUGUCUGGGUUGGGGCAGGGAGCAUGGGAGCAGCUUAAGAGCCAUCUUAAAUUAAUUAUGGACAUUGAAACCCUUCACUUUUAAACAUAACCCCGAUUAUCACAGCUUAAAAAAUUAGCAGUAAAACCUGAAGAGCACUCCUACCUGGUUCUUUUGGUUAAGGCCUGGCAGGAAGCAGGUGGUGUGCUGGAGCCAGGCCAUCAGGGAGAGAAGAGUAAAGGACAAUUGACAAGGAUGGACAAUUAGGGAAAUAGUUGUCACCAGCUAUGGGCUUGCAGGGCAAGAGAAAAAGUUGGCUGGAAUUCAGAGAAGCAGCUGGAUGGAGCCUGCCAGCCGCCUGCCUGGAGCAGUGGCUUUUGGUGGAGGCACAAAAUCCACCUGAGCACCUGCGAGUGCAAGAGAAAUAAACCCCCAUCCUCUCCGUCUCCCAGGGGCUGCCCUCCUCCAGGUGCACCCAUCAGCCAACCCACUGGAAACAAGGCUUCUGCUAACUAAGGUUGAACAAUGGUGCCAACAUCUCAGUGGCUUCCAGCAGCAUCUGUUCAUUCUUUCCCUGCUUCCAUGUUGACUGUGGAUUGGGCAGUCCUCUUGUCUGGGACACACCAAGACCCACACCUCGGGUCUUAAAGCUUCUGUUAGGAAGUGGUGCCCAUCAAUUACACUCAUAUCCCACUGGCCAAAGCAACACACACAACCCAGCCAGCUGUCAG